UUGACAGAGUUUUCCCAGAAAAGAACAGAAAAGGAAACACUUCUGCCACAAAAAGCCAGACAUGCUCAUUACUGUGGUGGGAGACUUAAAGAGAGGACUUUGGAUAAUGAAACAUGAGGAGUGAAAUAAAGCCCUUUGUUUUCUGCUCACUCAGGAAUGCCCAUGUGGGACAGAGAGUGGAGAGCUGAGCCCAACUCAAUGAAGAGCUUUGCUGCUCACGGCUGUGUCUCAGAUCAACCUGACAGGUUGGCCUCCUUUCAAGAAGCCUGAAUCAUCUUCUUCGUUCAACACAAAUGAGUCAGAGGCUAAAGAACAGGGCUCAGGCCCUCACUGAGACAAGCACUGCAACUAGGUUGUAUUAAUUGCUAAAUCAGAACCACACCAGGGGGAGUGCCAAAUAAGUAAUGCUGCCAAAAACAAGAUGUUCACUGAGCGCUUUGUGUAUGUAUGAACUCACUUCAUCCUCAUGAUAAGUCCAGAAGAGAGACAGUGUGAGUGGGGGAGGAGCAGAGAGAGGAAGACAACAGAAUCUGAAGCAGGCUCCAGGCUCUGAGCUGUCAGCACAGAGCCCAAUGCAGGACUUGAACUCAUGAACUGGGAGAUCAUGACCUGAGCCGAAGUUGGACACUCAACUGACUAAGCCACCCAGGUACCCUACAAACAUCAUCAGUCCCUCAACCAUGUGCCACAGCAGGGCAGAGAUGCCCUGUGGGGGACAGGCAACGAGAGAGAUGAAACAGGCAGAGACAACUUGUGAGUCAGUGGAACCCAUUCCAACCAUCAAAUCUUUAAACAUGCAGCAAGGACCUUCAAACUUCCACGGCCACCAACUUCAUUCUGUGACUACACAGGGUCAACUUUUAGCCAAAAAUUGUGGAUUAAAAACAGAAUUGAACUCUGCCUGGAAGGCUGUACCUUCUCAUAUGAUUUUUAAGUUUAGCAUUCCAAACCUCUUUUUCCAAAUGCCCAAUUCCUAUUUCAAGGUCAGGCAAAUAGAUGUUUUAACUUCAUCAGAAAAAUCUGUUUAAUGUUAUCAAUAGCUUCUUUUUAGAAGUCCCUAAGAGCAUAACUCAAAGCAGAAUGCAAAUCUAAGCACAUCUGUGCUACAAAACAUACAAGAGAUGCGAGAAAGAUGGCUAAAUUUUCACUACAAAACCCCCAGGAAUUUUUAGUCCAGUACAUUUUAGUCAGACUUCCCGAGGCAACAUUAUUUAUUCUGACAGGUUAAGAUACUUUUAACCUCAAUCAUCUAUGAACCGACAAACAUGAUUAACAGCUGUGAUCCACCAGGCCAGGGCAUGGCAACACAGGUGAGAGCUAGAAAGGAAAAGGAACAAGGGACACAUGGCACCUGUUUUGCAAACAAAAGCAAAGAUCAGAUUCUACAUCAUCCUUCCACCUGGCUACCCAAGUAUAGUAAUAACCUUAUAACCACUUGGUAUUUUCCAGGUCUUCUGACCAGGGUCAUGAACCUGGUAACCAUAGACACAUCACAGCAUUUAUCAGUAACUCAGUCUAGUAUUUUAUAAGACAGAAAUAGAGUGGAGUGCUGUCUUUCAAAUUUGUGCAUUUGUUUUUGUGCUCUUCCAUAGUUUGUUGGCAGUUGUCUUGCCUACUGUGGGUAAU
Molecule: long non-coding RNA, 1626 nt
Organism: Acinonyx jubatus (cheetah)
Lineage: Eukaryota; Metazoa; Chordata; Mammalia; Carnivora; Felidae
Exons: 3
Source: RefSeq, a predicted model, not a curated record